CACACACACACACACACACACACACACACACACACACACACACCCCUCCUCCACUCCCUCACACACACUCAUCAUCCUCUCCCUCCCUUCCUCGCUCGCAGACUUCACUUCACACUCCUCUCCUGCCUGAGGUCCCAGCAGUGUGUGUCUGCCCUUCAGCUCCAGCUCCAGCCCGCUCUUCGUCUCUCUCCUCCUCCUCGCUCAGCGUGUGUGUGCCAGACACCCAGAGAGUGUGUGUGACUAAGAGACAGCGCUCCGCAGAAGGCUUAUUUUCGGACCCAAACCGGCAGCAUCGUUUGGAGCCGCUGCCCCUGUCGCUGGUGAUCUGUGCCCUGAGUGCGGAGACCUUCAACAGACACACACACACAGACACACACACACACACGCGCGCGCUUUCACACAUUCGGGUCCAAGAUGAAAAUCCAGCUCCUACUCCUGCUGGCCCUGGCCGGACCCCUCUUCAGCGUUGCUAACGCAAGUACACUGGUGGUCCCCACGGCGGAGGAUCUGGCGGAGGUGACGGCGGCUCCUGCUGCUCCUGAGGCAACCGCCGCUCUCGAAGUCGCCGCCGAGGAACCCCGUCGCGCCCGAAGAGGAAGCUCCCGUUGCCACGGACGCGCCGGCCGAAGCCGAAGCCGCGCCCGCAGCCGAAGCCACUGAAGCCGCUCCGGAGGAAACCGCAGCCGUCGAAGAGGCGGCCGUCGAAGAGGCGGUGACGGAGGCCCCGGUCGCUGCUGAAGAGGCGGAGGUAGAAGUGGCCCCGGCCGAGGUCGCUCCUGAGGAACCGGUCGCCACCGACGCCCCCGUAGAACCCGCCGCAGAACCGGAGGCAGAACCGGAGGCGGAACCCGCAGCGGAACCCGAGCCUGAGCCAGCAGCAGAACCUGCGCCAGAGGAGCCUGCCGUAGAACCCGCCGCAGAACCCGCCGCAGAACCGGAAGCAGAACCGGAAGCAGCAGCAGCAGAGGAGGCACCUGAGGGGGAUGUGACGGUGGAGGAAGAAGGGAUGGGCUCAGGCCAGGUCGUGGGGAUUGUGAUUGGUGCUCUGAUUGCUGUGAUUGUGGUCAUCGUGAUCAUCGUGGUGGUUGUGCGGAGGAUGGGCCAGUACUCCCCUUGAGAAGGAAGGCGGCUCGACAGGAACCUCCUCCAAAGAAGUUCUGGAUUUUCUGAACUACUGAAUGAUGUCACUUCCUGUCGAAAUAUCUAAGCAUGCUCCAAGCACUCUAACACAUCCAGGAUCCUGGACUAUCGCCAAACGGAGGAGGCAGACCCCCCUGUCCCCCCCCCCCCCCCCCC
Long non-coding RNA from Clupea harengus (Atlantic herring), 1296 nucleotides. The record is from Ensembl. NCBI's taxonomy places the organism in Eukaryota, Metazoa, Chordata, Actinopteri, Clupeiformes, Clupeidae.